Molecule: long non-coding RNA, 594 nt
Organism: Mytilus californianus (California mussel)
Lineage: Eukaryota; Metazoa; Mollusca; Bivalvia; Mytilida; Mytilidae
Exons: 3
Source: RefSeq, a predicted model, not a curated record
AAGGACGUUAUGUUAAAAAAUCUGAAACUAGAGCUCAAAAUUUAAAAAAAAAAUUGUUAAAAACAGGGGGGUUGGUCUAUUCCAUGGCUUCUGGAGAAAAAUAAUGAGGGGUGUCACGGGGUAUGACUAUAUAGGUCUUGUAGAGGAGAAACAGGCGCAUCUUUUGCGCAAGGUAUCGAAGGGCGCUAUGUUCAAAAAUCUAAAACUAGAGCUCAAAAUUUGAAAAAAAAGUGUUAAAAACAGGGGGAUUGGCCUAUUUCAUGGCUUCUAGUGAAAAAUAAUGAGGGGUGUCACAGGGUAUGACUAUAUAGGUCUUGUAGAGGGGAAACAGGCGCAUCUUUUGUACAAGGUAUCGAAGGGCGCUAUGUUCAAAAAUCUGAAACUAGAGCUCAAAAUUUGAAAAAAAAUUGUUAAAAACAGAGGAGUUGGCCUAUUCCAUGGCUUCUAGUGAAAAAUAAUGAGGAGUGUCACAGGGUAUGACUAUAUAAGUCUUGUAUAGGAGAAACAGUCCCAUCUUUUGUACAAGGUAUCGAAGGGCGCUAUGUUCAAAAAUCUGAAACUUGAGCUCAAAAUUUAAAAAAAAAGUGUUAAAAA